Long non-coding RNA from Armigeres subalbatus, 745 nucleotides. RefSeq lists it as uncharacterized. The record is from RefSeq and is a predicted model, not a curated record. NCBI's taxonomy places the organism in Eukaryota, Metazoa, Arthropoda, Insecta, Diptera, Culicidae. The transcript has 3 exons.
UAUCACACUCUCGUUUUGAAAGUUGUUCAUUUCUUGUGAUUUUGAGUAACGAAACAUUUACUCUGAGAACAAAACUUUCUAUUUCAAAGUUGGUUUGUCAAUGAAACAUUGUACCUUUGAGAGCGGAAAUUUUUGAACUGAAAAGAGAAAAGUUCUUAAAUGAAUGCUCUUCAUUUUCUUGGUUUGGCGACACUGGCUAUAAAUAAAAAAUACUCUGGCAACCAAACGAGCUGUCAACGUCUUGAAUCAAGAAAAUACUCCCGGCGUAUUCUACACUCUUCAAGGCCUGAAUAAAUUCCUUCGAAGAAUUUAAUGGAAUAACAGAUGUGCACUGACGUCAGAAAAGAUAAUCGAGCACGCAAACAGCUAACUUCAAUCGGGCAUCCGGCUGUCGGCAUUCAACGGUAUAUUUGUGCUUGACAGCGUUUAUUUUACAUCCAAGCUGUUAUUAAUAGAUCACAUCCAUCAAAAGAUAAAAUUUUCACGACAAAAUCCCGAAAUCCAGGAACGAACUGCACCAACCAACCACCAAGUUGACCGCCGCUGUCCUGAAAUAUGAAUCUGAAUUUAUAAAUAUGAUCAGAAGGAAAAAGGCUUGAUGAAUUAUAAAAUAGACAAUAAAAUUAAAGCUAAAUAACAAAUUCGAAUUGUUUUUGUUUUUUAAUUUGGCAAUUAAAAAUUAUAAAUACGCCUGUGAAAUUGAGAGAGAAUACAACUUGUUGUUUUGAAAGUACUACUAGUUGAU